Molecule: ribosomal RNA, 404 nt
Filed under: uncultured Glomeromycotina
Lineage: Eukaryota; Fungi; Glomeromycota
Description: SSU rRNA
Rfam family: Eukaryotic small subunit ribosomal RNA
Source: RNAcentral
GUACUAGCUUGCUGAUUCCUCCUUCUUGUAGAACCGUAAUGCCAUUAAUUUGGUGUUGCGGGGAAAUAGGACUGUUACUUUGAAAAAAUUAGAGUGUUUAAAGCAGGCUAGCGCCUGAAUACAUUAGCAUGGAAUAAUGAAAUAGGACGUUCGAACCUAUUUUGUUGGUUUCUAGGAUUGACGUAAUGAUUAAUAGGGAUAGUUGGGGGCAUUAGUAUUCAAUUGUCAGAGGUGAAAUUCUUGGAUUUAUUGAAGACUGACUACUGCGAAAGCAUUUGCCAAGGAUGUUUUCAUUAAUCAAGAACGAAAGUUAGGGGAUCGAAGACGAUCAGAUACCGUCGUAGUCUUAACCAUAAACUAUGCCGACUAGGGAUCGGAUGAUGUUAAUUUUUUAAUGACUCAUU